This 2921-nucleotide ribosomal RNA is filed under the name Triticum aestivum (bread wheat). RNAcentral describes it as "partial small subunit ribosomal RNA". Lineage: Eukaryota; Viridiplantae; Streptophyta; Magnoliopsida; Poales; Poaceae. The record is from RNAcentral.
AUAAGCCGGCCACCUCAUCUCGUUACCAUCUCAGAAAAAUACAUUUUGCUCGCUCUCCUUUCUUUUCCCCCCUUCACCUUUUUCCUCUUCCUCGCGGACCUCGCCUCUCCUCCCCUCCCCUCCCCUACCCAACCUCUGCGCCACCAUGCUUGCUCCAGCCGUCUACUAGGUUCGCUGCGCGGGAGCCUGGGUCCCUCGCCUCUCCCCGCCCCGCCAUGUUUGGAGUCUCCGUCGUCGCCGCCUCGAGCCUGCUCGCCGCGGCUUGAUUGAUUGGCUCCGCCAUUUUUCCUCUGGGUUUUCUAGAGUUGCCAGAGGCAUUUAUCAUAUUGUGAAAUUAAACUUUGGUGAUUCUGAUCCGGAAAGGGAAAACGUGUGAAUUGCAAACAUACAUGAUGUCUGGCUUUGGUACAAAUUCAGCCAUGGGUUCUUCGUCUCUCCCUUCUAGAGUUGUGUAUAACACAGGUAACGAUUUGCCGGUGGAAUACAUAUAUGACCAGGGUCUUUCUUAUCCAGCUACCAACGGAUAUGCUUACUAUGCAGGAUUUGAGCCACCUGUUGGAUGGAGUGAAAACACUAAUUAUUGGGGGGUAGAUGGUCAAUAUCUCCAACUGACGAACGACAAUCUUCCUUAUGUGUAUUGCACACCUGGCUAUGAAUUUUCUUAUUCUUCACAAGAUCAGUACACUUCCUAUAUGCCUGGCAUGUUCAUGGGAGUUGAUGGCUCAGUUGUAGGAAGUCAACAGUAUUUCACUAAUCCAUAUCAGCCUCCUGGCUCGCCAUCUGGUUACUUCCCAGUAUAUCUCCAGCCCACCACAGAUUUGAGCUCAGCAGUUUCUUUGGAGCCUCCUGUAUUCAGUACUGGCACAUCUGUUGCUAGUAGGCCUGUUAAUACUAGCAUAAAAGAUACACAUCAAAUGUCUGGAAAUACAAUGGCUUCUCGGACUGUCUCUUCUGCAAGUCCAGCUAUUGGUUCCUCCCAUCAUGCUUACCAGAAUCAAAGCACGAAUAAACCUUCUGAUCUGCCAGGUGCUAAUGUGGCGAGGCAUGACAAGCCUUCAACCUCACAUUUGACAGUUCUGGUUGAUACUGACAAGAAUUUUCAGGCUGCUUCAGGUAUGGGGAGCUCUGGGGACAAUGGACAAAUUACAGACAGGACAGAAGUUGUGCCAGUGGCUGCCAUGGUGGGUGAAGGUGCCCAAUCCAAAGCAGUGUCAAGCAGUGCAGUGAAAAACAUUGUGAUACAUCCUGACCAAUAUAAUAAGGCCGACUUCCCUUGUGAUCAUCCAGAUGCCAAGUUUUUUGUCAUUAAAUCUUACAGUGAGGAUGACGUGCAUAAGAGUAUCAAAUAUAAUGUGUGGUCCAGCACACCCAAUGGCAACAGAAGGCUGGAUGCUGCCUACUCAGAAGCAAAAGGGAGUCAACGGAAGUGUCCAAUAUUUCUGUUCUUUUCGGUUAAUACAAGCGGGCAGUUUUGUGGUGUUGCUGAAAUGGUCGGCCCUGUGGAUUUUCACAAAGACAUGGAUUUCUGGCAGCAAGAUAAGUGGUCUGGGAGCUUCCCACUGAAGUGGCAUCUAGUAAAGGAUGUGCCGAAUUCCACCUUUCGACACAUCAUAUUAGAGAACAACGAGAACAAGCCUGUUACCAACAGCCGAGAUACACAAGAGAUGCCUUAUAAGUCGGGAAUAAACAUGCUAAAGCUAUUUAAGAGUAGUCCAAUGACGACAUCGAUUCUUGAUGACUUCCCUUUCUAUGAAGGGAGGCAGAAAGCAAUGCUAGAACAGAAGCGCAGAAGUUUGGGCAGAAGUUUUGGUGGACUUACUUAUGUUCCAGCACUUGUUGCUAAAAGGAGUGUUGUUGUGGAGGGUGAACCUUCUGAAGUAGGUGAAGGCAUUAGCAGCAAAGAUCCACAUCCAGGGAAAACUGGAGAGGAUAGUGGUGCUUGUGAGCAACCUGACAAGACAAGCCAAACGAAAGAUGGAGUGGUUACACAAGUACUGAAAAAGGAUGCAGUGUCACCUGUUGAGCAACCUGAACAUGUAAAAACAGAACGGCAUAGCUUAGAUGAUAUUCAUCAUGAACAGAAUGAGGGCUGUUCCGUUUCUGUGUCACCAGAAAAUGCUGGAAGGGAACAUGCUGGCUUGAGCGAACUGGUAAAAUCUAAUGGAAAAGUUUAUAGUGACCGUGAAUCACAACCUGUUAUAAGCUCAACUGAACCCAAUAGUUCUGGACGAAAAGGUCUUUCUCAGGAGUCUGGUGGUCACGACCCAUCAGAUCGCAUGAAAGGCGGUGCAUCUGGGAUAACGAAGGAUGUCAAGGCUACAUUGCUCAAGAAAACAGAAGGCUUAUCAACUAGCCAUAUGGAUGGGCAAGCAAAAGGCAUUGUUAACGAGGCUCCAACUGGUGUUGUUAAGGUUGGCUCGGUGCACAUCAAACUAAAUGUGGCGGGGGGUUCGUCAUCUGAGAUUAUAGGUGAUGGUUCUCUUGAGCUGAAGGGAGCAGAACAUAUUGAGCAGGGCAUCUCAACAAAACUGAGUUAAGGAGCAACUAAUUUAUUUUCAUUUUCUGGGUGUUGUGACAUGUUAGUUUAACAUCUCUGUUUGUGUUGGUGGGGUUUAGCUGCUUUUGCUUAUGGCUACUGCAGUUGGUUUUUCAGCUUGACGACUGACAGCUUGACAUCAUGGUUGGUUUGGUUUGGGUAUAGCUCCUCUUUUGUUUCAUAAUCUCCAACAAGUGGUCAUAGUCUCAGAGGUAUUUGUGGUGAGGGAAAAUUGUUUCUGUUUGUGGUUGUGUUGGCCCUCAUCAGCAGAGAAGGCAUUUGGCAUUAUUAGGUGAAAUGUAAUCAUGUUUUUAUAUGGUACCAAUAUAUGGACUGUCAGUUGGUGACUGCUGAUGGCCGGCAACUGUGUUCUCUUUUACAGUAU